This 1299-nucleotide long non-coding RNA is filed under the name Piliocolobus tephrosceles (Ugandan red Colobus). RNAcentral describes it as "lncRNA (ENSPTEG00000021112.1)". Lineage: Eukaryota; Metazoa; Chordata; Mammalia; Primates; Cercopithecidae. The record is from RNAcentral.
UUGUAUACAAAAAUCUAAUGAAAAAAUAAUAAAAAAUAAUUAUGAAUGUAUAAAUUUGUUGACCGAUAAAAAAAACUACAAUGAUAAAUUACAACAGUUAAAAAAAUAUUACACAAAAGAUAAUAAUGUGAAGAACAAAUAUGUGUUUUCUUUUUAUGGGUGUUCAGGACAUAAGAAAAUAAAUUUUUUAGAACAGUUAUUUAACUUAUCAUUUGAAGAAAAAAAAAAAUUGUCAAUUUAGGUUAUAAUCAAAAACUAGAUUUAUGGUUUGGUCAUGAUCAAAAUAAAAAUUUAAAUGUAAUUCUUGAUAUAGACUUACUAGAGAACAAAGAAUUUAGUAGUAAUAAUAAUAAUAGUAGUAAUAAUAGUAGUAGUAAUAAUAGUAGUAGUAAUAAUAGUAGUAAUAAUAAUAGUAAUAGUGGAAAUAGUAUUGAUGAUAGUAGUAAUAAAAUUAAAGAAUUUAUAAAUCAAUUUGAAGAAAAAUUAGAACAAUCUUUAUAUAAUUAUUAUUAUUUAAAUCAAAGUCCAUUAAAAAAAUUAUUUGAAAAAAAAAAAAUAUAUAAAACAACAAGAAGAAAAAAAAAAAAAAAAUAAUUAUAAAUGGUUUAAUCCAUCUAUUAAUUUUAAUUUAACUAUUACAUCUUUUAUUAGAAAAAGUGGACAUGGAAACUUACAAAGUUAUUUUGUUUAUGACUUAGGAUUAUUAACGUUAGUAUUUGGAUUAGUAAAUGAUAGAGACACAGUUGAAGUUCAACAACAAGGUGAUAAAAUACCAUUUUUCAAGUUACAGCCAAAAAUUAAUAUGAAGAUAAAUUUUAAUUAAAGAUGGUUAUUUUACUCUUUCGUAUUAUGGUGACCAUAGGAACUAUAAAAAACUAAAUGUAUGACAUAUAUAUACAAUGUGUAUAUAUAACAUUUUUAUAAUUUAAAAGUGUAAAAUAUAAAUUAUAAAAAAAAAAAAAAAAAAUUACAAUUUUUGUUAAUAUAUUAUCAUACAUAUUCACACAUUUUUAAAAGUUAUUUUUUGUUCCUUUUUUUUAAACCUUUAUGCUUUAUAUACAUUUUUUCUUUUGUUAUUUCUGUAUAACUCUAUAAUAUGUUACUUUAUUUUAUUUUGUUUUAUUUUGUUUUACUUUAUUUUAUUUUGUUUUAUUUUAUUUUACUUUAUUUUAUUUUGUUUUAUUUUGUUUUAUUUUGUUUUAUUUUGUUUUAUUUUGUUUUAAUUUUUUUUUUUUUUUUUUUUUUACGGUAUACUUAUGCUUUAUAAAAUAAAUGUUUUACAUAUUUUUAUGUUUGACA